CCCUACUCUUUGCAGCGUUCUCUGUCUCAUCCUCUUUGCUGAGUUGAAGCUCGCCGGCUUCACCUUCUUUGUCUGCCCUCUCCACCGACAACGAUUCUGCUAUUCCAUAAGUCUUUCUCUACAUUUUUCAUUUUCAUUUCUAAAGCGUAAAUGGGACCUUGUAUUUCCUCUACUCCAAAUUUGAACUUGUUGCCCCUACCAACUAGGUGAAGAUCUGAUGCAGUAACGUGUUUUAAGUCACAAUCUGGAUCCCUCACUUCCUCUAUUUCUUAAAUUUCAAGUCACAAUUUCAUUGAGUUUGUUCUCGCCCUUUGCCUUGCAAACUUAGGUAAAUUUGGUGUCUGAGUUUUGCGUUUUUUGUUUAUAUUUUAGGAAUAUGAAUUCACAACUUGAAUUUUGUUGAGUUCACAAAUUGUUUUCAAUAGGAGCGUCAAAAGUAAAGAUGUUUUAUCUGAUAAGAUGUUUUGCUGCGUAAAAUGUAAAAUUUCAUUCAGCUGAUGGAGAUUGAGGUAUUCUUCCAGGCGAUGAGUUCGCUUCGUGAAUUCAGAUGUUUCCUUAAUUUUGAGUCUGCGAUGCCUUGCAAAUUCUGUAUGUUGCCUAUAACAGAGGGACUCUUCCAUCAGACUGUUCAAGUGCUGUUGAAGCUUUCUUAUGAAAAGACUAGUGUAAGCGAGAUUAAUUUCUCAUUUUUGAACUACCAACACACAUACACACACUGUUCGUCUUCCAAUGAGCUCAAUAUGGGGGUGGAAAAGAAAAGUGAUCACUGUUUAUCUUAUUUCCUCAUAUUUUUCCCAAAACAACCAGCUUCCUCAUGAUAUGUCUAUGUUUAUAAUUAUAUGAGAGUAUAGCAUACCCAUCCAA
This is a long non-coding RNA of Prosopis cineraria, 864 nucleotides long. RefSeq lists it as uncharacterized. The transcript is spliced from 2 exons. Lineage: Eukaryota; Viridiplantae; Streptophyta; Magnoliopsida; Fabales; Fabaceae. The record is from RefSeq and is a predicted model, not a curated record.